CCUACGGGAGGCUGCAGUGAGGAAUAUUGGUCCAUGGGAGAGAUCCUGAACCAGCCAAGCCGCGUGAGGGAAGACGGCCCUAUGGGUUGUAAACCUCUUUUGUCGGAGAACAAAACCCGGGACGUGUCCCGGACUGCGUGUAUCCGAAGAAACAGCCUCGGCUAACUCCGUGCCAGCAGCCGCGGUAAUCCGGAGGAUGCGGGCGUUAUCCGGAUUUAUUGGGUUUAAGGGGUGCGUAGGCGGUCCGUUAAGUCAGCGGUAAAAUUGCGGGGCUAAACCCCGUCGAGCCGUGGAAACUGGCAGACUGGAGUGGGCGAGAAGUACGCGGAAUGCGCGGGGUAGCGGUGAAAUGCAUAGAUAUCGCGCAGAACUCCGAUUGCGAAGGCAGCGUACCGGCGCCAGACUGACGCUGAGGCACGAAAGCGUGGGGAUCGAACAGGAUUAGAUACCCUGGUAGUC
This 459-nucleotide ribosomal RNA is filed under the name uncultured bacterium. RNAcentral describes it as "partial 16S ribosomal RNA". It matches the Rfam family "Bacterial small subunit ribosomal RNA", at positions 338 to 795 of the family's 1533-position model. The record is from RNAcentral.